AUGGCAAGUCUUCUUGAUGGCUGUGCAGGCAGAGUAUGUAGCUGGACGGCAAGGAACCUAAGGUUGCAAGUAGGAGUGGUGAGGGUUGAAGUGAAAGGGGAGAUCGGUGAUAAGUUCCCCAAAAAGGUUGGGCUUAAGCACGAUGAACCAAAUGCUCGGAAUGUGCUUCAUUUCUACGACAGGAUGCUGCGCUGCACACGAUCAGACCUUGACAGGAAAUGGUUCAAACAUGUCUUUAUGACUUUGGUCCUCCUGUGUGAUGAUGAUUUCAUAGCUGAGUUUGGUCCUGAUGGGGGAAUUAACCAAUCUCGGCUGGACAGUAAUUUCAUACAUGUUGAUAUUCAAGGAUGCGAGGAUGUAUGGAUCAUGGAAAAUAAGAUGGAGACAUAUGUUUGA
This 396-nucleotide ribosomal RNA is filed under the name Triticum aestivum (bread wheat). RNAcentral describes it as "partial small subunit ribosomal RNA". Lineage: Eukaryota; Viridiplantae; Streptophyta; Magnoliopsida; Poales; Poaceae. The record is from RNAcentral.